AAUUUUGGACAAUGGGGGCAACCCUGAUCCAGCAAUGCCGCGUGUGUGAAGAAGGCCUUCGGGUUGUAAAGCACUUUUGUCCGGAAAGAAAUCUUCUGCCCUAAUACGGCGGGAGGAUGACGGUACCGGAAGAAUAAGCACCGGCUAACUACGUGCCAGCAGCCGCGGUAAUACGUAGGGUGCGAGCGUUAAUCGGAAUUACUGGGCGUAAAGCGUGCGCAGGCGGUGAUGCAAGACCGAUGUGAAAGCCCCGGGCUCAACCUGGGAACUGCAUUGGUGACUGCAUCGCUGGAGUAUGGCAGAGGGGGGUGGAAUUCCACGUGUAGCAGUGAAAUGCGUAGAGAUGUGGAGGAACACCGAUGGCGAAGGCAGCCCCCUGGGCCAAUACUGACGCUCAUGCACGAAAGCGUGGGGAGCAAACAGGAUUAGAUACCCUGGUAGUCCACGCCCUAAACGAUGUCAACUGGUUGUCGGGCCUUCAUUGGCUUGGUAACGAAGCUAACGCGUGAAGUUGACCGCCUGGGGAGUACGGUCGCAAGAUUAAAACUCAAAGGAAUUGACGGGGACCCGCACAAGCGGUGGAUGAUGUGGAUUAAUUCGAUGCAACGCGAAAAACCUUACCUACCCUUGACAUGUACGGAAUUUCACUGAGAGGUGGAAGUGCCCGAAAGGGAGCCGUAACACAGGUGCUGCA
RNAcentral lists this ribosomal RNA (694 nucleotides) under Paraburkholderia sp. Its description in RNAcentral is "bacterial SSU rRNA". It matches the Rfam family "Bacterial small subunit ribosomal RNA", at positions 360 to 1045 of the family's 1533-position model. Lineage: Bacteria; Pseudomonadati; Pseudomonadota; Betaproteobacteria; Burkholderiales; Burkholderiaceae. The record is from RNAcentral.